AAAUGCGAUAAGUAAUGUGAAUUGCAGAAUUCAGUGAAUCAUCGAAUCUUUGAACGCACAUUGCGCCCGCCAGUAUUCUGGCGGGCAUGCCUGUUCGAGCGUCAUUUCAACCAUCAAGCCCCCGGCUUGUGUUGGGGACCUGCGGCUGCCCGCAGGCCCUGAAAAACAGUGGCGGGCUCGCUGUCACACCGAGCGUAGUAGCAUACAUUCUCGCUCAGGGCGUGCUGCGGGUUCCGGCCGUUAAACGACCUUCAUAACCCAAGGUUGACCUCGGAUCAGGUAGGAAGACCCGCUGAACUUAAGA
This 304-nucleotide unclassified non-coding RNA is filed under the name plant metagenome. RNAcentral describes it as "partial contains 5.8S ribosomal RNA, internal transcribed spacer 2, and large subunit ribosomal RNA". The stretch from base 1 to 104 matches the Rfam family "5.8S ribosomal RNA", at positions 51 to 154 of the family's 154-position model. The record is from RNAcentral.